ACCGAACCUGCAGUAUCUCCAAGUGUGAAUCAUCGAGCUCAGAGGAAGGAGAGAACUAUUGGAUGGUGGUAUCCAUAUGAUACGUGGAGCAUCAGCCACAUGCGGACUUUGUGCAGGAGUUGGAGAUAAAGAAACAAAAUGCAGCCUCCGCUUUUAAGGAAUUCCUAGUGUAGUGAACAAGAGACUUAACUCAUGGUUAACUGUCUCACUGAAGCUAUCUCUGAGAGCCUCAGCUGGAAUUACUAUCUGCCAUUCUCUAAAACAGUGGUUCUCAGUGUAGUUACCAGACCAACAACAGCGACAAUACCUGGGCUCUUACUGGAGAUACACAUUCUCCUCCACAACCUACUGAUUAAGGAACUCUGGAGAACUCCAGAUUUCUGUUCUACCUGUAUUCAACUUGGUUGUCUAAGGUCCUGCUACUCAAAGCAUGAGUCUGGGAAGGCCAAGGGAGCUGGAGCCAACAGAAGGAAAGAACCAUCUGAAGACCUCCAUCAAACCUUUCUCUGAGUGUUGAUCAGUGCCUGCAUGAGGAACUACUGAGACUGGGGAAAAAAAACAUACAAAAUGAUUAGAGAGAAAUGCUCAGAACUGACAAAGGGCCUUGGAGGAAAUGGAAAAGUAUUUGUCAAAGGGUGUAGACUUCCAGUUAUAAGAUCCACAAGUUCUGGGGAUGUAGUGUAUAGCAUGGUAUAUAGCUAAUAGUACUGUGUUCUAUACUUGAAAGUUCCUAAGAGAGUAGAUCCUAAAUAUUCUCACCAUAAAGGACAAAUGGUAAUUAGAAAUUAGCAUGAUGCUUACAGAAAAAAUUGAAAAGUUGAUUGUCUUCAAAAUUAAGACAAUCUGCAAAAUUCAAAUGAACCAUAGACUGGGAGAAAAUAUCAGCAAGUCACAUAUAGAAUGAAAGACUUCUAUCCAUAAUAUAUAAAAAUUCUCAAAAUUCAGCGGUAAGAAAAGGAACAACUUUUUUUUUUUUAAUGGGAAAGAUGCAUAGACACUUUACAAAAAAAUAUAUGGAUAGCAAAUAAGCAUGUAAAAAGAUGCUCAACACUAUGAGCUAUUUGAGAAGUGCCAAUUAAAACCACAAUGAGGGGCAUCUGGGUGGCUCAGUUGGUUAAGUAUCCAACUCUUGGUUUUGGCUCAAGUCAUGAUCUCUUGGGUCAUGAUCACAUGGGUCGUGAGCUGGAGCCCCACCUCAGGCUCUGUGCUCAGCAGGGAGUCUGCUUGAGAUUCUCUCCUUUUGCUCCUCCUCCCACUCAUGUGUGCACUCUCUGUCUUCUAAAUAAAUCGAUAAAUCUUAAAAAAAGAAACCCACAAUGAGAUACCACUACAAACCUAUUAGAAUGUCCAGAAUGAGGGAGAAUGAAGAUAUCGAGUUUUGGUAAGAUGUGAAUCAAAUGGAACUUUUAUACACAGCGUAAAAUGGUACAACCAGUUUGGAAAACAGUUUGACAGUACACCUACCAAAUGACCUUGGCAUUCCACUCCCAGGUACUUACCCAAGGGCAGUGAAAACAUGUUUAUAUGAAGUCUAGGACAUCAACGUUCAUAGCAGCUUUAUUUAUAAUAGCUCCAAACCUGGAACAACCUAUCUGCUUAUCAAGAGGGGAAUGGAUAAACAAAAUGUUGUACAGAGAUUCAGUAGUACUCCCCUUAUCAAAGGCUUCAUUUUCUGCGGUUUCAGUUACUGUGGUCAACCAUGGUCCAGAAGUCCAUCUGACGUAUCAUCAGAGGAUGGGUAGAUAGCCUAAAGCUAUCACAAUGCCUACAUCACUCACCUCACUUCUACUCAUCAUGUAGACAUUUUAUCAUCUCACAUCAUCACAAGUAGGGUGAGGACAGUAUGAGAUAUGUUGAGAGAGAGAAAGA
This is a long non-coding RNA of Ailuropoda melanoleuca (giant panda), 1869 nucleotides long. RefSeq lists it as uncharacterized. Lineage: Eukaryota; Metazoa; Chordata; Mammalia; Carnivora; Ursidae. The transcript has 5 exons. The record is from RefSeq and is a predicted model, not a curated record.